UAUGGCUCAGAACGAACGCUGGCGGCAUGGAUUAGGCAUGCAAGUCGAACGAAGCAGCAAUGCUUAGUGGCGCAAGGGUGAGGAACACGUGAGUGACCUACCCGCAAGUUUGGAACAGCUCCUGGAAACGGGAAUUAAUACCGGAUGUGAUCGAUGAACUGCAUGGUUUAUUGAUUAAGCAGCAAUGCGCUUGCGGAUGGGCUCGCGUCCCAUUAGCUAGUUGGUGAGGUAACGGCCCACCAAGGCCAUGAUGGGUAGCUGGUCUGAGAGGACGACCAGCCACACUGGGACUGAGAACUGCCCAGACUCCUACGGGAGGCUGCAGUCGAGAAUUUUGGGCAAUGGACGAAAGUCUGACCCAGCAAUGCCGCGUGCGGGAUGAAGGUCUUCGGAUUGUAAACCGCUGUUUGGAGGGACGAAAAUUGACGGUACUUCCAGAGGAAGCCACGGCUAACUACGUGCCAGCCGCCGC
Molecule: ribosomal RNA, 472 nt
Filed under: uncultured bacterium
Lineage: Bacteria
Description: bacterial SSU rRNA
Rfam family: Bacterial small subunit ribosomal RNA
Source: RNAcentral